UGCGGGAUGGAGUAACGAGCAACUCGGCGCUCUUUGAAAGCGCAGUUGAUGGUGCGAAUCCGUCUCCCGCAGCCA
This 75-nucleotide transfer RNA is filed under the name Verrucomicrobiota bacterium. RNAcentral describes it as "Verrucomicrobia bacterium tRNA-Gln". It matches the Rfam family "tRNA". From Rfam's summary of the family: Transfer RNA (tRNA) molecules are approximately 80 nucleotides in length. Their secondary structure includes four short double-helical elements and three loops (D, anti-codon, and T loops). RNAcentral also lists the same sequence under 1 other name. The record is from RNAcentral. Lineage: Bacteria; Pseudomonadati; Verrucomicrobiota.